RNAcentral lists this ribosomal RNA (253 nucleotides) under uncultured bacterium. Its description in RNAcentral is "partial 16S ribosomal RNA". It matches the Rfam family "Bacterial small subunit ribosomal RNA", at positions 524 to 776 of the family's 1533-position model. The record is from RNAcentral.
UACGAAGGGGGCUAGCGUUGUUCGGAAUUACUGGGCGUAAAGCGCACGUAGGCGGCUUUGUAAGUCAGAGGUGAAAGCCCGGAGCUCAACUCCGGAAUUGCCUUUGAGACUGCAUCGCUUGAAUCCGGGAGAGGUGAGUGGAAUUCCGAGUGUAGAGGUGAAAUUCGUAGAUAUUCGGAAGAACACCAGUGGCGAAGGCGGCUCACUGGACCGGUAUUGACGCUGAGGUGCGAAAGCGUGGGGAGCAAACAGG